Molecule: long non-coding RNA, 1412 nt
Organism: Rosa chinensis
Lineage: Eukaryota; Viridiplantae; Streptophyta; Magnoliopsida; Rosales; Rosaceae
Exons: 7
Source: RefSeq, a predicted model, not a curated record
GAGCAUUAGGUCUCUCUCCCCUCCUCAAUUCCAUCAGGUCUUCUCCUUUUUGCUUUUUUUGUUUUUUUUUUUUUUGGCGUUCUGUCUCUCUCCCCUCCUCAAUUGAGUCAAUUCCAUCCGAUUCUCAUCGACCUCAGUACUUCACUACUCAGCCGCUCAGGUUGUGGCUGUCUAACAAUUUUCUGGGAUUCUGAGAAUUGAGAAAAUUAGAGAAGGAGCUGUGAGCAAACUCAGAGUCUUAUCUCAGUCAUCUGAGUCUUUGAUCUUCAAGGAACCAGGUACCACAUCUUUUGAAGAAAACAUAACCACCCCAGUAUUCUGGUGUUUGUGACUUCGAGGAAACAUCCAAGCUUCAUUCCAGUCUGUCAGGUGGCCUUCAGGUGGUCUUAGGAUUGAUUGCAUGAGUUCAAUCCUUAAUGGGUACUGAGGAAGCCUACGAAGUUUCGUGAUCGCAGGUGAGCCAAGAAGAACACGCUGUUGAUUUGUGAUUAAAGGUGAGCUACACCGAGCAUUCUGCAAACUUGUGGCUGGAGGUGAAGUAAUUUAUUCCUUUGGCGCUGCAUAAAGAUUCCUCCAGAGCAGUUUCUUCACUUUGUGAACCCAAGAACUUUGCAGACUUGUAGUUGGUGUGAACUGGCAGCCCCAGGCGUUCACUUGACACUCGUUUUUGCCACCCAUAUGCAGGACGCACUGCGAUACAGGCAUAAAAAACAAGUGCAGUGCACCCUCUAGUUUGGACCUUACUUCCGCCACCCAUACGCAAGACGCACCGCAGUAUAGGCAUUGAAAGAAGGCUGAAAACACAGGUGAGCCUUUUCCCUUGCCGAAAUCUCUUCUCCUCCAUCUCUGUGAACGUGCUUCUUUUUUUGUCUCAUUGGACCUGCACUGUUUGUUAACACAACGACAAAUGGAGGUGUAUUUGGUUGUUUUGUUUUCUGAUUUUGGUGGGCAACAAUGAGGGAUUUGAGGCUUUGUGAGUUGGUGUAUUUAGCUUUGGGGGGUAUGGAGAAUUUGUUUCUGAUGCUGUUUGGAAGGGUUAUAGAGCCACAUAGCAAUAAGCAGAGGAAGGACUUUCUGCACUCAUGAACACAUCAACAAUGAUAAAGGAAAAGUACCAGUAAAGACCAUGGAGAAGUGACUAGCAGGAUACAUGAACUUGAUGCUCUCCUAUCGUUGGGUUGUAGUCUCCAGCUUUGUCUUCUUUAUAUAGGAGGCAGCAAAGGCUCUAGAGGCUGGAUAAAUGCUCGUUUGAAAUUUAAAUUUUCGGAGGCUCACGUGGAUAAGCUGUUGAACAGAGAUUUGCUCCUUGACUCCGAUAUUGAACUUAGACACCCCUUGCCACUUUGUUCUUAUCUCACUUUGAGAUGUUUGAAUCACAAUUUGAAUGCUUUCUUUUGUUUCUAUAGCUUUUC